Molecule: long non-coding RNA, 263 nt
Organism: Galeopterus variegatus (Sunda flying lemur)
Lineage: Eukaryota; Metazoa; Chordata; Mammalia; Dermoptera; Cynocephalidae
Exons: 3
Source: RefSeq, a predicted model, not a curated record
UCCGUUUUCUCCGGUUCUCCAUGGAUUCUGUCUAGAAGGAAGCCGUAUUUCCAAUCGUCCCUCUGGGAUAGGAGCCUUUUUGCUGUAACAGCUACAUUCAGAUCUAUGAUCCACCUGAGUUCCUUUUUCUGUGUGAUGUGAGACACUAACAGAUCGAUAUUAUGUGUUUGAUGAUGUUACUGGGGUUUAAGACGUACGUAAUCUGGGCAUGGAAACUGAUGCAGCUGAGAAUUACGUCUUGACACAAUGAACUCCAGAAGUUC